This 221-nucleotide ribosomal RNA is filed under the name uncultured bacterium. Its description in RNAcentral is "partial 16S ribosomal RNA". It matches the Rfam family "Bacterial small subunit ribosomal RNA", at positions 113 to 334 of the family's 1533-position model. The record is from RNAcentral.
CGACGUGGGUAACCUGCCUCAUACAGGGGGAUAACGAUUGGAAACGAUUGCUAAUACCGCAUAAGCGCACAGCACCACAUGGUGCAGUGUGAAAAACUCCGGUGGUAUGAGAUGGACCCGCGUCUGAUUAGCUAGUUGGUGAGGUAGCGGCCCACCAAGGCAACGAUCAGUAGCCGACCUGAGAGGGUGACCGGCCACAUUGGGACUGAGACACGGCCCAG